This is a non-coding RNA of Pocillopora verrucosa, 235 nucleotides long. The record is from RefSeq and is a predicted model, not a curated record. Lineage: Eukaryota; Metazoa; Cnidaria; Anthozoa; Scleractinia; Pocilloporidae.
CCAACUGUCUGGGGGACUCAGGGUACUAUAUCAAAAGCUUGAAGAAAAAAAACAAGGCUUGUGUAAGGAACAAACUCUACUGCACAGAGCGGCUACAAUACCAAAAGUAUUAGCAUCACAGACUGGCAAAGAUGGCAAAUUCAAGCCUUGUUACCCAGUUCCAUUACUUGCUGGAAGAUACGCAUUUAUUCAGUUAUUGGUGAAGGGGAAUCAUCACUCUUAAUUUCAGCAGAGG